AGAUUGAACGCUGGCGGCAUGCUUUACACAUGCAAGUCGAACGGUAACAGGCCGCAAGGUGCUGACGAGUGGCGAACGGGUGAGUAAUGUAUCGGAACGUGCCCAGUCGUGGGGGAUAACGCAGCGAAAGCUGCGCUAAUACCACAUACGAUCUAUGGAUGAAAGCGGGGGACCGUAAGGCCUCGCGCGAUUGGAGCGGCCGAUAUCAGAUUAGGUAGUUGGUGGGGUAAAGGCUCACCAAGCCAACGAUCUGUAGCUGGUCUGAGAGGACGACCAGCCACACUGGGACUGAGACACGGCCCAGACUCCUACGGGAGCAGCAGUGGGGAUUUGGAC
This 336-nucleotide ribosomal RNA is filed under the name uncultured soil bacterium. RNAcentral describes it as "bacterial SSU rRNA". It matches the Rfam family "Bacterial small subunit ribosomal RNA", at positions 26 to 367 of the family's 1533-position model. The record is from RNAcentral.